Molecule: ribosomal RNA, 522 nt
Filed under: Triticum aestivum (bread wheat)
Lineage: Eukaryota; Viridiplantae; Streptophyta; Magnoliopsida; Poales; Poaceae
Description: partial small subunit ribosomal RNA
Source: RNAcentral
AUGGCGCAGUCCCAUGACCUGGUGCUCGCCUUCGCCUCCCUCCUGCACCGGCUGGUGACCGUGCUCCCUCUCCGGCGCGGCGGCCUCGCUGCUCCGACGACCCCAAGCUCCGCCUCCUCGUCUCCAUUAAAGGUCACGGUGCUGUUCCGGUGGUUUUCCGGUGGCGGUGGUGUUCCAGUGUGGUUGUGCCUUCCGGUGGUGGUCUGUCCACCGGAGCUCCUGCUGCCGCUCUUCUCCGACGACGCCGUGGUUGGACUGCUGAUUUUGGUCAGGUCACGCGGUCGUUCCGGUGAUGUUGUGGUUGUGGUGGAGUCCUCUGGCGGUGGUGCUGACCUCCAGGGGUGCUGUGGUGGACUGGUGUUGGUGCUGUCCACCGGAGCUCCUGCUGCCGGUGUACAUGUUGCCGAGCUGCUGCUGGGGACGUCGACUACGACAUGGUCUCCCUGCCUUCUUCGACUUGGACCCCUCCUACAGCACCGUGUCCCCACCGGCGUCCCACAGAAGGUGAUGAUGAACCUGUGA